GCUUCUGCGGCAAGGAGCGGUCAGCACUUCCAGGGGGCGAUGAUCCACUUUCAGCAGCUGGCCUGAACGCCAGCACUCCACACCGCAGCAAGCCUGCCUGCUUGCACGAGGAGCUUACUUUGGGCAGAAGCAGAGGCUUUCAGGGAAAACAAAGAUCAUUAACAAUGCUCUUCCUCCUCUCUGUGCCAUCCGGAGAAGGGCUGCUGCUCGGGUGGGGUUUUUGAUGUUUCUGACUUAAAUUUUCCUCCUGUUUGCUGCAAAAACAGUGUUCUUUUCGCUCUCAUGGCUACAUUUUCCCCAAUCUGUUCCCUCCUCUAUUUAAUUAGGAAGAUUGGUGACUGCAAGAAUACAAAUAUAGUUACAAAGAACUUUUUUAUGCAACUUAGCUAAACUGACACAUGUUCAGGAACUGAUCCUGACCAUUUAAGAAUUUCAAAAUGUGCUAAGUAGCCUCUCAGUCUUUUGUCUAAAUGAUUCAUCCAGCCAGCAGACAGGAAAGAAUACGAGUAACCCUUUUUUUAAGGAUGACUGUAAUUCUUGUUAGCAACUUGCUCUUCUAAUACUGCCUAUUCACCCGGAGGAAGAUGAGAAAGUGGACUAACAGUCUAGCAUUGUAAACUGUAUCUAAUUCUGGAAGCUGAAUAUAAUAAUCAACAGACAGCAGCAGCCAGGAGGCCCCGAAGAGAGGUCAAGGGAACAGUUGGCAGGAACUCACAGGGAGCUCACGAGCCUGGGAGGAGCCUGCCCGAACUUGCAGCUGGGAGCAGAAAUCACAAGGUUUAUUCAAAUUGCUAGCAGCAAAUUUAACAUCUACAGAGUUAACGUGACAAUGAACAAAAAAUAAGGGAGGCUUCUUGCUUCAUCUUUUUGUUUAUCCAAUUGCUCACUGCUGUGGGCGUUUGGGUAGCGGUUUUGGUGGCACCUGAAUCAAAGGAAACAGCUGUGUGGCUCCCAAAGCCCGCCUGCCUACAGCAGCAGUGGUUCCGACCCUCCUUGGAGAAACCGUGUUGGUUCUGACUGGAACAAUGACUAAGCCCUGACAGGCCGCAAGCUCCGGGCUGCACUGAGGUAUGACACAGUACCUGUUUGGUGAAGCGACAUUACAUAACUGCUAUCUUUGGCCUCUCCAGCCAAAUGAAUCAUCAGUUUCAUGGGGCCUUUUGUCAACAUCAUUAUCCCUGUCACCUCCAAUUAGCAUUUGCAGAGCACCCACAUGGAGAUGACACUGUGUUUUAUACCUGACAGAACACAAGGAAGACAGAGACUACAACUGAUAAAGUAAACUGUCAGAAGUGUACAUCUGAAUAUGAACCACUGAACAAACAUACCUGUAAAUCCGAGCCUCUCUAGCUCACACUGGUAGAAUA
Molecule: long non-coding RNA, 1367 nt
Organism: Octodon degus (degu)
Lineage: Eukaryota; Metazoa; Chordata; Mammalia; Rodentia; Octodontidae
Exons: 3
Source: RefSeq, a predicted model, not a curated record